UAUGUGAUGAGACGAUAUUCACACUGUUUGACCCUCCUUCGGGUUGGAAUGAACACUAAACAAAAUCUGAUUUAAUGAGGUA
Molecule: small nucleolar RNA, 82 nt
Filed under: Neurospora crassa
Lineage: Eukaryota; Fungi; Ascomycota; Sordariomycetes; Sordariales; Sordariaceae
Description: box C/D snoRNA CD6
Source: RNAcentral